RNAcentral lists this unclassified non-coding RNA (337 nucleotides) under soil metagenome. RNAcentral describes it as "partial contains 5.8S ribosomal RNA, internal transcribed spacer 2, and large subunit ribosomal RNA". The stretch from base 1 to 120 matches the Rfam family "5.8S ribosomal RNA", at positions 35 to 154 of the family's 154-position model. The record is from RNAcentral.
GAUGAAGAACGUAGCGAAAUGCGAUAAGUAGUGUGAAUUGCAGAAUUCAGUGAAUCAUCGAAUCUUUGAACGCCCAUUGCGCCCCAUGGUAUUCCGUGGGGCAUGCCUGUUCGAGCGUCAUUUACCCCCUCAAGCUCCGCUUGGUGUUGGGCGUCUGUCCCGCUUCGCGCGCGGACUCGCCCCAAAGGUAUUGGCAGCGGUCGUGCCAGCUUCUCGCGCAGCACAUUGCGCUUCUCGAGGCACCGGUGGGCCCGCGUCCAUCAAGCUCACCCCCCCAGUUUGACCUCGGAUCAGGUAGGGAUACCCGCUGAACUUAAGCAUAUCAAUAAGCGGAGGA